Molecule: ribosomal RNA, 1460 nt
Filed under: Urochloa ruziziensis
Lineage: Eukaryota; Viridiplantae; Streptophyta; Magnoliopsida; Poales; Poaceae
Description: bacterial SSU rRNA
Rfam family: Bacterial small subunit ribosomal RNA
Source: RNAcentral
CGAACUCCAGGCUAAUAAUAUGAAGCGCAUGGAUACAAGUUAUCCUUGGAAGGAAAGACAAUUCCGAAUCUGCUUUGUCUACGAAUAAGGAAGCUAUGAGUAAUGCAACUAUGAAUCUCAUGGAGAGUUCGAUCCUGGCUCAGGAUGAAUGCUGGCGGAAUGCUUAACACAUGCAAGUCAAACGGGCUCGCUCUGAUUAGCUAGUUGCUGGGGCAAUAUCUUACCAAGGCGAUGAUCAGUAGCUGGUCCGAGAGGAUGAUCAGCCACACUGGGACUGAGACACGGCCUAGACUCCUACGGGAGGCAGCAGUGGGGAAUUUUCCGCAAUGGGCGAAAGCCUGACAGAACAAUGCCGCGUGGAGGUGGAAGGCCUAUGGGUUGUCAACUUCUUUUCUCGAAGAAGAAACAAUGACGACAUCUGAGGAAUAAGCAUCGGCUAACUCUGUGCCAGCAGUCGCGGUAAGACAGAGGAUGCAAGCGUUAUCCGGAAUGAUUGGGCGUAAAGCGUCUGUAGGUGGCUUUUCAAGUCUGCCGUCAAAUCCUAGGGCUCAACCCUGGACAGGCGAUAUAAACUACCAAGCUGGAGUACGGUAGGGUCAUAGAGAAUUUUCGGUGGAGCGGUGAAAUGCAUUGAGAUCGGAAAGAACACCAACGGCGAAAACACUCUGCUGGGCCGACAUUAACACUGAGAGACGAAAGCUAGGGGAGCAAAUGGGAUUAGACAUCCUAGUAGUCCUAGCCGUAAAUGAUGGAUACUAGGUGUUGUGCGACUCGAUCCGUGUAGUGCUGUAGCUAACGCAUUAAGUAUUCCGCCUGGGGAGUACGUUCGCAAGAAUGAAACUCAAAGGAAUUGACGGGGGCCCGCACAAGCGGUGGAGCAUGUGGUUUAAUUUGAUGCAAAGCGAAGAACCUUACCAGGGCUUGACAUGUCGCGAAUGCUCUUGAAAGAUAGGGGUGCCCUUGGGAACGCGGACACAGGUGGUGUAUGGCUGUCGUCAGCUUGUGCUGUAAGCUGUUGGGUUAAGUCUCGCAACGGGUGCAACCCUCGUGUUUAGUUGCCACUAUGAGUUUGGAACCCUGAACAGACCGCCGGUGUUAAGCCGGAGGAAGGAGAGGAUGAGGCCAAGUCAUCAUGCCCCUUAUGCCCUGGGCGACACACGUGCUACAAUGGACAGGACAAAGGGUCGCGAUCUUGCGAGGGUGAGGUAACUCCAAAAACCUGUCCUCAGUUCGGAUUGUAGGCUGCAACUCGCCUGCAUGAAGCAGGAAUCGCUAGUAAUCACCAGUCAUCCAUACGGCGGUGAAUCCGUUCCCGGGCCUUGUACACACUGCUCGUCACACUAUAGGAGCUGGCCAGAUUUGAAGUCAUUACCCUUAACCGUAAGGAGGGGGAUGCCUAAGGCUAGGCUUGCGACUGGAGUGAAGUCGUAACAAGGUAGCCGUACUGGAAGGUGCGGCUG